UCCUUCCUUGUCUAGGGGAGCUGAGUGUUCAAUGAUCAUUUGGUGAGAUCACUUUUGCUGACACCCUAACUGAAAAGUGCGCACCCGCGGUAAAGGUUUACUUAGCGAGUGCAAUUUUUGUAAGC
Cylas formicarius (sweet potato weevil) is the source of this 125-nucleotide small nuclear RNA. RefSeq annotates it as U4atac minor spliceosomal RNA. NCBI's taxonomy places the organism in Eukaryota, Metazoa, Arthropoda, Insecta, Coleoptera, Brentidae. The transcript has a single exon. The record is from RefSeq and is a predicted model, not a curated record.